This 878-nucleotide ribosomal RNA is filed under the name uncultured bacterium. RNAcentral's name for it is "bacterial SSU rRNA". It matches the Rfam family "Bacterial small subunit ribosomal RNA", at positions 56 to 932 of the family's 1533-position model. The record is from RNAcentral.
UGCAGUCGANCGGUAACGCGGGGCAACCUGGCGACGAGUGGCGAACGGGUGAGUAAAGCAUCGGAACGUGCCCAGUAGUGGGGGAUAGCCCGGCGAAAGCCGGAUUAAUACCGCAUACGACCUACGGGUGAAAGGGGGGGAUCGCAAGACCUCUCGCUAUUGGAGCGGCCGAUGUCAGAUUAGGUAGUUGGUGGGGUAAAGGCCUACCAAGCCUGCGAUCUGUAGCUGGUCUGAGAGGACGACCAGCCACACUGGGACUGAGACACGGCCAGACUCCUACGGGAGGCAGCAGUGGGGAAUUUUGGACAAUGGGCGCAAGCCUGAUCCAGCCAUGCCGCGUGCGGGAAGAAGGCCUUCGGGUUGUAAACCGCUUUUGUCAGGGAAGAAAAGCCUUGGGUUAAUACCCUGGGGUGAUGACGGUACCUGAAGAAUAAGCACCGGCUAACUACGUGCCAGCAGCCGCGGUAAUACGUAGGGUGCAAGCGUUAAUCGGAAUUACUGGGCGUAAAGCGUGCGCAGGCGGUUGUGCAAGACAGGUGUGAAAUCCCCGGGCUUAACCUGGGAACUGCACUUGUGACUGCACGGCUUGAGUGCGGCAGANGGGGAUGGAAUUCCGCGUGUAGCAGUGAAAUGCGUAGAUAUGCGGAGGAACACCGAUGGCGAAGGCAAUCCCCUGGGCCUGCACUGACGCUCAUGCACGAAAGCGUGGGGAGCAAACAGGAUUAGAUACCCUGNUAGUCCACGCCCUAAACUAUGUCAACUGGNUNGUUGGGAGGGNUUCUUCUCAGUAACGUAGCUAACGCGUGAAGUUGACCGCCUGGGGAGUACNGGCCGCAAGGUUGAAACUCNAAGGAANUGACGGGGACCCGCACAAGCGG